RNAcentral lists this ribosomal RNA (400 nucleotides) under uncultured bacterium. RNAcentral's name for it is "bacterial SSU rRNA". It matches the Rfam family "Archaeal small subunit ribosomal RNA", at positions 339 to 738 of the family's 1478-position model. The record is from RNAcentral.
GCGCGAAAACUUUACAAUGCUGGCAACAGCGAUAAGGGAACCUCGAGUGCCAGGUUACAAAUCUGGCUGUCGAGAUGCCUAAAAAAGCAUUUCAUAGCAAGGGCCGGGCAAGACCGGUGCCAGCCGCCGCGGUAACACCGGCGGCUCGAGUGGUAACCGUUAUUAUUGGGUCUAAAGGGUCUGUAGCCGGCCGGAUAAGUCUCUUGAGAAAUCUGGCAGCUUAACUGUCAGGCUUUCAGGAGAUACUGUCUGGCUCGAGGCCGGGAGAGGUGAGAGGUACUUCGAGGGGUAGGGUGAAAUCUUGUAAUCCUUGAAGGACCACCAGUGGCGAAGGCGUCUCACCAGAACGGACCUGACGGCAAGGGACGAAAGCUAGGGGCACGAACCGAAUUAGAAACCC